Molecule: unclassified non-coding RNA, 298 nt
Filed under: plant metagenome
Description: partial contains 5.8S ribosomal RNA, internal transcribed spacer 2, and large subunit ribosomal RNA
Rfam family: 5.8S ribosomal RNA (bases 1-104)
Source: RNAcentral
AAAUGCGAUAAGUAAUGUGAAUUGCAGAAUUCAGUGAAUCAUCGAAUCUUUGAACGCACAUUGCGCCCCCUGGUAUUCCGGGGGACAUGCCUGUUCGAGCGUCAUUUCACCACUCAAGCCUCGCUUGGUAUUGGGCGACGCGGUCCGCCGCGCGCCUCAAAUCGACCGGCUGGGUCUUCCGUCCCCUCAGCGUUGUGGAAACUAUUCGCUAAAGGGUGCCGCGGGAGGUCACGCCGCAAAACAACCCCAUUUCUAAGGUUGACCUCGGAUCAGGUAGGGAUACCCGCUGAACUUAAGC